Oryctolagus cuniculus (rabbit) is the source of this 787-nucleotide non-coding RNA. The record is from RefSeq and is a predicted model, not a curated record. NCBI's taxonomy places the organism in Eukaryota, Metazoa, Chordata, Mammalia, Lagomorpha, Leporidae.
GGGACACGGCCACCCCCGUCCGCCGGCGACCGCAGGCUGGGGCCCGCCGCCUACGCUGGGCUGGGGAGCCAUCGCGCAGAGCUGAGCGAGGGGCACGCGCGUGACGGACAGCCCGCGCGGAAAGGCCGCCGUGACGUCACAGGCCUGGAAUCCCCGCGAGAAGUCCCGGUUCCCUUUUCGCUUCCCCGCCCGCGGAGGCGGGCUCCCGAAGCCCCGCCCCGCGUGACGUCAGCGCGCCGGCCUAUAAAAGCGCCGCGAGCGGCGUCCGUGCUCCACCGCUCUGUCGCCAGCCAGCACCGUGGAAGAUUACAUGCGAGACGCCCGUUCGCCGCCACUGCGCUUGCGACCGCCGGUGGGACCAAGUGUCCUCGAGCCUCACGCCUGAGGGCGAGAUGAACGCGCUGGCUUCCCGAGCCGUCCGGACCUACGAUCGCUUCUGGCAGCCCGAGCCGGCGCUGCUGCCUCCGGGGUGACGAGCAGGCCCCAGACGCCCAGACAGAUGGCGCCCGGCCAGGUGCCGCAUCAUGGCGCCCCCUGGGGGGACGCCCACCCCUUCUUCCUCCUGUCCCCGCUGAUGGGCUUCCUCAGCCGGGCCUGGAGCCUCCUGAGAGGCCCAGGACCUCCGCAGCGCUGGCUGCUGGAACAUCAGGUCGAGGCUGGCCUGGAGGCGCCCGUGGCCGCCCGUGGAGCCCCCUGGGGGGCUGGAGGCAGCGGCAGGACGCCCUGCCUCAGGCGGAAAGGCUGCCUGCCUGAGGCCCCGGGACUUGCAGAUGACGAUGACGAAGAG